CCAGUCACAAUCUUCUGGACUCUAACCAGUCACAAUCUUCUGGACUCUAACCAAUCAGGCUUCAAGACGGGUCAACUCAACCGAGACUGCUCGUCUUUCUUCUUCUUCUUUGUGUCAUGGAGGUUCUCCACUCUGCCAAAGCUGACUCUCCUCUGUUCUCAUCCUCCUAGAACCAUCAGAACCUCCUCUCCACCCUCUCAGGGCUGGGUGUCUCAGGCUCUAUCAGAUCCUCCUCUCCACCUUCUCGGGGCUGGGCGUCUCAGGCUCUGCCUCCGCUCCACCCUCUCAGGGCUGGGCGUCUCAGGAUCUAUCAGAUCCUCCUCUCCACCCUCUCAGGGCUGGGUGUCUCAGGAUCUAUCAGAUCCUCCUCUCCACCCUCUCAGGGCUGGGCGUCUCAGGCUCUAUCAGAUCCUCCUCUCCACCUUCUCGGGGCUGGGCGUCUCAGGCUCUGCCUCCGCUCCACCCUCUCAGGGCUGGGCGUCUCAGGCUCUAUCAGAUCCUCCUCUCCACCCUCUCAGAGCUGGGUGUCUCAGGCUCUAUCAGAUCCUCCUCUCCACCUUCUCGGGGCUGGGCGUCUCAGGCUCUGCCUCCGCUCCACCCUCUCAGGGCUGGGCGUCUCAGGAUCUAUCAGAUCCUCCUCUCCACCCUCUCAGGGCUGGGUGUCUCAGGAUCUAUCAGAUCCUCCUCUCCACCCUCUCAGGGCUGGGUGUCUCAGGAUCUAUCAGAUCCUCCUCUCCACCCUCUCAGGGCUGGGCGUCUCAGGCUCUAUCAGAUCCUCCUCUCCACCCUCUCAGGGCUGGGAGUCUCAGGCUCUAUCAGAUCCUCCCCUCCACCCUCUCAGGGCUGGGUGUCUCAGGCUCUAUCAGAUCCUCCCCUCCACCCUCUCAGGGCUGGGCGUCUCAGGCUUUGCACACUCUUGGAUUGCAUCCUACCUGGCUUCUCCUACCAGGUGACGUGGAGAGAAUCUGUCUCUGCACCACGUACUCUCAAUAUUGGUGUCCCCCAGGGCUCGGUUCUAGGUCCUCUCUUCUUUAUACACCAAGUAAUUUGGCUCUGUCAUAUCCUCACAUGGUCUCUCCUGUCAUUGCUAUGUGGAUGACACAGCUACUUUUCUCUUUCCCCACCUUCUGA
This 1131-nucleotide long non-coding RNA is filed under the name Oncorhynchus mykiss (rainbow trout). RNAcentral describes it as "lncRNA (ENSOMYG00000058737.1)". Lineage: Eukaryota; Metazoa; Chordata; Actinopteri; Salmoniformes; Salmonidae. The record is from RNAcentral.